GGAUUAGAUACCCUGGUAGUCCAUGCCGUAAACGGUGGGCGCUAGGUGUGAGGGUCUUUCUACGACUUUCGUGCCGUAGCUAACGCAUUAAGCGCCCCGCCUGGGGAGUACGGCCGCAAGGCUAAAACUCAAAGGAAUUGACGGGGGCCCGCACAAGCGGCGGAGCAUGUGGAUUAAUUCGAUGCAACGCGAAGAACCUUACCUGGGCUUGACAUACACCAGAUCGCUGCAGAGAUGUAGUUUCCCUUUGUGGUUGGUGUACAGGUGGUGCAUGGUUGUCGUCAGCUCGUGCCG
Molecule: ribosomal RNA, 294 nt
Filed under: uncultured bacterium
Lineage: Bacteria
Description: partial 16S ribosomal RNA
Rfam family: Bacterial small subunit ribosomal RNA
Source: RNAcentral